GACGUGGAGCGGCCGAUGCCGGAUUAGCUAGUUGGUGAGGUAAAGGCUUACCAACGAGGCUCGAUCCGUAGCUGGUCUGAGAGGACGACCCAGCCACACUGGGACUGAGACACGGCCCAGACUCCUACGGGAGGCAGCAGUGGGGAAUCUUGGACAAUGGGCGAAAGCCUGAUCCAGCAAUGCCGCGUGUGGGAAGAAGGCCUCGGGUUGUAAACCACUUUUGGCGGGAAAGAAAUGGUCUGUGCUAAUACCACGGAUUGAUGACGGUACCCGCAGAAUAAGCACCGGCUAACUACGUG
Molecule: ribosomal RNA, 299 nt
Filed under: uncultured bacterium
Lineage: Bacteria
Description: partial 16S ribosomal RNA
Rfam family: Bacterial small subunit ribosomal RNA
Source: RNAcentral